GAUGAACGCUGGCGGCGUGCCUAAUACAUGCAAGUCGAGCGAACGGACGAGAAGCUUGCUUCUCUGAUGUUAGCGGCGGACGGGUGAGUAACACGUGGAUAACCUACCUAUAAGACUGGGAUAAUUUCGGGAAACCGGAGCUAAUACCGGAUAAUAUUUUGAACCGCAUGGUUCAAAAGUGAAAGACGGUCUUGCUGUCACUUAUAGAUGGAUCCGCGCUGCAUUAGCUAGUUGGUAAGGUAACGGCUUACCAAGGCAACGAUGCAUAGCCGACCUGAGAGGGUGAUCGGCCACACUGGAACUGAGACACGGUCCAGACUCCUACGGGAGGCAGCAGUAGGGAAUCUUCCGCAAAGGGCGAAAGCCUGACGGAGCAACGCCGCGUGAGUGAUGAAGGUCUUCGGAUCGUAAAACUCUGUUAUUAGGGAAGAACAUAUGUGUAAGUAACUGUGCACAUCUUGACGGUACCUAAUCAGAAAGCCACGGCUAACUACGUG
This 497-nucleotide ribosomal RNA is filed under the name uncultured bacterium. RNAcentral's name for it is "partial 16S ribosomal RNA". It matches the Rfam family "Bacterial small subunit ribosomal RNA", at positions 28 to 507 of the family's 1533-position model. The record is from RNAcentral.